GAUGAACGCUGGCGGCGUGCCUAAUACAUGCAAGUCGAGCGAACGGACGAGAAGCUUGCUUCUCUGAUGUUAGCGGCGGACGGGUGAGUAACACGUGGAUAACCUACCUAUAAGACUGGGAUAACUUCGGGAAACCGGAGCUAAUACCGGAUAAUAUUUUGAACCGCAUGGUUCAAAAGUGAAAGACGGUCUUGCUGUCACUUAUAGAUGGAUCCGCGCUGCAUUAGCUAGUUGGUAAGGUAACGGCUUACCAAGGCAACGAUUCAUAGCCGACCUGAGAGGGGGGACCGGCCCACUGGAAAGUGAGACCGGGCCAGAAUCCUAAGGGGGGGGCGAGGGGGGGAAUUUUCCGAAAGGGGGGAAAGCCUACCGGGGAAACGCCCGGGGAGGAAUGAAGGUUUUGGGUUUGUAAACCUUUUUUAUUAGGGAAAAAAAUAUGUGUAAGUAACUGUGCCCCUCUUGGCGGUACCUAACAAAAAAGCCCCGGCUAACUCCGG
This 497-nucleotide ribosomal RNA is filed under the name uncultured bacterium. RNAcentral's name for it is "partial 16S ribosomal RNA". It matches the Rfam family "Bacterial small subunit ribosomal RNA", at positions 28 to 506 of the family's 1533-position model. The record is from RNAcentral.